ACCCACGCACGCCCAGGGGAAGCGCCGAGUUCCGGGCGUUCAGGGUCGGCCCCGAGCAGGGGGAAGGGAAGCGCUCUCCGUGUCGGGGCGGGCGGAGGGGCGUGAGGAAAGUCCUACGGUGGCCGCAGAGGGACGUUUCUACGGCUCCCACGCUGGGCCAAACGCCGCCGGGCGCCGGGCGCGGGAGCCCCUGGCCCUUCGGGGCAGCCCCGAGCGGGGACGCUUGAGGGUCCGGGCCGCGCCGUCGGCACCAUGCGGCCGCCCUGCUCCCGGAGCCCCGAGGGACAGGCGGCCGCGCGGCUCGGGACGCCGGCGCGGAGAGGGCACCCGGUGAGCGGGCGGGGGUGCCCGGGCGGGGCGCAGGCGGCUCCCGGGGGCGCUGCGCGUCGGCCCUGCCUGCCUCCAGGAUCCGGGGCCUGGCAGCCCCCAGAGGCGGGCGCCCGGACUCCGACCUGGAAGCCCGUGGCGCAGACGGGUUGCUUGCGCCCAAGUGAUGGGAGGAUGGCGAGCGGCCCGCCCCCAGCCGCGACCCCGAACCGUGAAGGGAGCACUAACGCCGGAAAGCCAUUGGCUGCUGUCAGACCGGGUCUGGCCGAAGCCUGUAGGGAGGGCUGGGCCUGCGGGUAGGGGAGGGUGGACGUGCCCGGCUUCCGGCUCUUCCGCCUCUGGCCAGAGCAGCACGUGGGCGGCCCUUUGCCCUGACCCGUGGCGGAAAGGAAGCUAGCAGGAGCCCCUGUGCAGGCCUCCAGGCUGAAGGCCUUGUGGUGGAGGCAGAUGCCCUGGGCAGUGCCUUCCCCGAGCCCGUAACCAACUUCGCUGCUCGGUUUUUACACAUCGGUUCUGUACUUGCCGUUCUGUGUUUCUCUCUCCACGAUUUCGGCACGCCAUAAAUGGCGGUUCCUAGGCCAAACCAGGGAGCCACUUGCUAUUUCUCCUUUCCUGGGGUGGCCCAGUCCAUUGGGCUCCAUGCCCUGUGAUGACACCACUGGCCGUGGGCAGUCACCCUUUCUGCCAGGCACAGGCAGCCCCUGCCCUGUUAUGCCUGCUUCUACAGCACCCCUGGGAGUCCAGCACUGUCCACGUCCCGGUUCUGCAGAGCAGGGAGGGUUUCGGGGGUGAGGUGACCUGCCCGAGGUCCCUCCAGGUAAAGGACAGCACGAGGGUUCGGGCUCCGCAGGGGAGCCCAGAGCCCUCUACCUGCUGCCGGGUUCCCAGCACUUGGCCUGUCAAGUUGCUCAAGAGAAUGGCUGUCUGCCCUGUGGGCACCCUCUCCCUCCACCAGUCCUGUGGUGGCUGCCACUCAGGGACUGAUUCGCCCUGGAUAAAGCAGCCACAGAAGUGCAGGCAGGAAUGGGCAUCCCAGAUAAGAGCCAGACGGCCCACGCCUCCCCCGGCGCUCGGCCUCGGACCCCGGGGCCCGGGCGCUCAUGACGCCUAUGCUGACCGCCACCCGGACGCCGCCGCUGCGAGCCUGCGCUGCCGCCCGGCCCGAUGCCGGUCAUGCCGAUCCCCCGGCGGGUGCGCUCCUUCCACGGCCCGCACACCACCUGCCUGCACGCGGCCUGCGGGCCCGCGCGCGCCUCGCGCCUGGCCCGCACCAAGUACAACAACUUCGACGUCUACGUGCGGGCGCGCUGGCUCUACGGCUUCAUCCGCUUCCUGCUCUACUUCAGCUGCAGCCUCUUCACCGCCGCGCUGUGGGGCGCGCUGGCCGCCCUCUUCUGCCUGCAGUACCUGGGCGUGCGCGUCCUGCUGCGCUUCCAGCUCAAGCUGUCGCUGCUGCUGCUGCUGCUGGGCCGCCGGCGCGUGGACUUCCGCCUCCUGAACGAGCUGCUCAUCUACGGCAUCCACGUGACCAUGCUGCUGGUGGGCGGCCUGGGCUGGUGUUUCAUGGUCUUCGUGGACAUGUGAGGGCCCGGCCACCUCGCCCUGGGGGGGCUCUGCUGGAAGCCCCGGGUGCAUGCACCUGCUGCAGGUUCUUUUCUUGAGACCUGGGAGGCCGGGCCCGGUCCGCCCUUGCCCACAGACACCACCUGGGUGCCUGACCUGGGAGAGGAGAGGGCUGAGGCUUUCUGUGAAGGGACCUUGGCACCUGCCCUCCUUUCUGUGCGUGCUUUCGGGGCAGGACCUCCGGCCACCUGCUUGUGGUUCCAGGCUGCACUUUGCCGAGCUGUGCCAGGGUGGGAGCUGGGGGGGGGGUCCGGUCUGCACUUGGGGAGCCUGUGUCCCUGUCCCCAAUCCAGGACACUGGCAUCGCCUCUGGAGUUCCCUGGGAGAGGGGCUGCCCAGGCGCACUUCUCGGGAGGGGUGUGACUGCUCCCGGCCCAGCCUUAGGGAAGCGUCAGGCUCCACCAGCAGACGCACCGCACUGCCACCAAGCUCUUCACUCUGCCCCGGGCCACCCGAGCCCUGGCCUAGCCCGCAGGCCCUCCGCCAUCUGUCACUCUGUGAGGCGCUGGUCCUGAGUCCCAGGCUGGGCUUCAGGGUCACCUCGGUUUGCCUGGCAGGUUCCCAGAUCAGGGUCAACCCAGAGGAGUGUGGGGCCCAGGGUCCACCUGUCUCCCUCCUGGGUGGCGGGUCCCAGGGCCCACCUGUCGCCCUCCUGGAUGGGCCUGUUGAGAGUGCCAGCCAGGUGCUGUCAUCUCGUCAAGCGUCCGUUUCUGGGGAGGCGGCUCUGUCUUUUUCUGGCUUUGGGGGGCUUUCCAUCCCAUCCCCUGAGGGAGUGUCCAGGAUGGAGACGUGCUUGUCGGAAGCAGAUGUCAGAGGUGGCCCGAGGGCACCAGGCUGGACCUCCCAGCGAGGGGCUCGGCCGCCCUUGUUCCUGCCUCGGCAGCUGUUAGAAUGGAAUGAGGGCGUUCCUGCGGAGGCUCAGUGGUUAACAAACCCCACUAGUGUCCAUGAGGACACAGGUUCAAUCCCUGGCCUCGCUCAGUGGGUUAGGGAUCUGGUGUUGGCCAUGAGCAGUGGUGCAGGUUGCAGAGGAGGCUUGGAUCCUGCGUUGCUGUGGCUGGGGUGGGUGUAGGCCAGCUCCAGUUCUACCCCUAGCCUGGGAACUUCCAUAUGCUGCACGUGCGGCCCUAAAAAAGCAAAAAAAAGCAAGUUGAACGUGGGCCGGAAAAGAGCAAGUGGCCCAGAGGGCUUCUGCUUGUGGAGAGAACACGCCGGAGGCUGGUGCUUGCCCAGACCCUCCCCCUGGCCUCUGCCCAGUGGGGCGUCGCGGGCAAGUGAGAGGGACUGAGUAACUACGCUGGGGCACCAGCCAGAGGCAGGACUCAGGGCCCCAAAUUGAGGGUGACACCUCAAAUUGUCCCCACAACCCCUGGGCACGGGCGGUGGCCCCGGCAGCCCUGCCUGGCCUGCCAGCCCAGCGGCCAGGGGCAGCUGGCAGGACCAUUAUGUGCCCCCCGCGAGGCAAACCCGAAUCAGGUAGAGAGCAGAAAAGUACUCGGCUGUGCGCCAAGCCCUUGACUCCGUAGCCAGCUUCGGGCUGACGCGGCCACGCGCGGUCCGGGCAGCUCCUGCAGGCAGAGGGAGCGAGUCCGCCUGACCUGCGUGGGUGGCGGGCCAGGAGCCGGCCCGCGCGGACCCUCUUCUCAGGGCUGCAGAGAGUCAUUUGCACUGGAUCACGCUGUUCCCGUAAAGCUUCGUCUUGUGUUCACUGGCAGCCGUUACCCGGGCCCGCGGAGGCUGCCCGCGGGGGCGUGGGCGCAGGGCUGGGCGUCGGGCCUCGGCGGCGCAGAUGCAGAGCUGCUCCCUGCCGCGAGUGCCUGUGAAGUCCUUUAUGGAAUGAGCCACCUGCAUUAAACUUAUUUUUUUA
This 3817-nucleotide long non-coding RNA is filed under the name Sus scrofa (pig). RNAcentral's name for it is "lncRNA (ENSSSCG00050023593.1)". The record is from RNAcentral. Lineage: Eukaryota; Metazoa; Chordata; Mammalia; Artiodactyla; Suidae.